This 739-nucleotide ribosomal RNA is filed under the name Actinomadura bangladeshensis. Its description in RNAcentral is "partial 23S ribosomal RNA". It matches the Rfam family "Bacterial large subunit ribosomal RNA", at positions 2192 to 2925 of the family's 2925-position model. The record is from RNAcentral. Lineage: Bacteria; Bacillati; Actinomycetota; Actinomycetes; Streptosporangiales; Thermomonosporaceae.
GUGAAAUACCACUCUGGUCGUUUUGAGCGUCUAACCCGCACCCGUGUAUCCGGGUGGGGGACAGUGCCUGGUGGGUAGUUUAACUGGGGCGGUUGCCUCCUAAAGUGUAACGGAGGCGCCCAAAGGUUCCCUCAGCCUGGUUGGCAAUCAGGUGGCGAGUGCAAGGGCACAAGGGAGCUUGACUGUGAGACGGACGUGUCGAGCAGGUGCGAAAGCAGGGCCUAGUGAUCCGGCACCUACGUGUGGAAGUGGUGUCGCUCAACGGCUAAAAGGUACCCCGGGGAUAACAGGCUGAUCUUCCCCAAGAGUCCAUAUCGACGGGAUGGUUUGGCACCUCGAUGUCGGCUCGUCGCAUCCUGGGGCUGGAGUAGGUCCCAAGGGUUGGGCUGUUCGCCCAUUAAAGCGGCACGCGAGCUGGGUUUAGAACGUCGCGAGACAGUUCGGUCCCUAUCCGCUGCGCGCGUAGGAGAAUUGUGAGGGUCUGUCCCUAGUACGAGAGGACCGGGACGGACGGACCUCUGGUGUGCCAGUUGUCCCGCCAGGGGCACGGCUGGUUGGCUACGUUCGGUCGGGAUAACCGCUGAAAGCAUCUAAGCGGGAAGCCUUCCUCGAGAUGAGUUCUCCCACCCCUUUGUGGGUGUAAGGCCCCCGGUAGACGACCGGGUUGAUAGGCCGGAGAUGGAAGCGCGGUAACGUGUGGAGUCGACCGGUACUAAUAGGCCGAGUGGCUUGAACACAC